Molecule: transfer RNA, 72 nt
Filed under: Aprasia parapulchella
Lineage: Eukaryota; Metazoa; Chordata; Lepidosauria; Squamata; Pygopodidae
Description: tRNA-Ile
Source: RNAcentral
GGAUGCGUGCCUGAACACCUAAGGAUUACUUUGAUAGAGUAAAUCAUAGGGGCUAAAAUCCCCUCGCCUCCU